UAAUGAUACUUGCGUCCAGUCGACAGGCCGAGCGCCCACGCGGUCAGCAAAACCGUGAUCCGUCGCAGCCAACGAGGGCGCCUCGCAGAGAACCUGGGAGUGGUGAAAUUCCAAUGA
RNAcentral lists this non-coding RNA (117 nucleotides) under uncultured Enterocloster sp. RNAcentral describes it as "pemK RNA". It matches the Rfam family "pemK RNA". The record is from RNAcentral. Lineage: Bacteria; Bacillati; Bacillota; Clostridia; Lachnospirales; Lachnospiraceae.